This 6192-nucleotide long non-coding RNA is filed under the name Nicotiana tabacum (common tobacco). RNAcentral's name for it is "long non-coding RNA (NTAB_LNC000142)". Lineage: Eukaryota; Viridiplantae; Streptophyta; Magnoliopsida; Solanales; Solanaceae. The record is from RNAcentral.
AACUAGGACCAUGACCUAUCUACCGCUCGAUUGAAGUUUGCAGCAUAGCAGAGUUGUGGAUUUAGUAUGCAGAUUAGUUAAAACAGGGUAAGAUGGCAAAAUGCUCAAACACUUGAGAAAAGAGGUAUGUGAAGUGUUUCUGUUACAACAGUCAAUAUGUGAAGUCUUUAUUAAAAACGUAUUGCAAUACCACAUGCCCUUGAAAUUAGAUAAGUGUGUUUAACUCAGCUAAAUGUUGGUAGGGAAAUUGGAAUAGAUUUGUCUAAAAUUAAGAGUAACAAAUUGGAUUGGAUCAUUCAUCUCAACUUUCCCUGUGGAAUCAUAGAUUAGUGUGUUUAACUCAACGCAUGAGUUUAUUAGUUAAAAACCAUAGAAUUCUGUAUUAAUUUUGUCCUCAACCUAUGCUUCUUAGUUUACAGUUUCUUUCCUUCUUUAUAAGCUCUCAGUUUUCUUUAAGUAAUUAUUAUGUUCUUAGGUAAGUGGCCUACUGUGAUCGUGCUAGAAAUAAUAAAAUGAGAAUUAUGAAGACAAGUUAAUCAAGUUGUCACUUUUCACUAAGUGUCUUGCUUCAAGAAGGGGAUCUUAUCGCGACGUGUAAGAGUUGUCGCUGUGUGAAAAGGAAAUCAUGUGUUCUAGCCGUGCAAAGUGCAAACAACAUCUUGCAAAAAUGCAAAGUAAGGUUUUGAACAAUAGACCAAAUGUGUUCGGCCCCUCUCUAGACCCCACACAUAGUGGGAGGUUAGUGCACCGGGCUGCCCUUAUUUUUAUAUAUCUUGUUUCAAAAUUUCUUAACUGAUCAUGGGAUGUUUGGAAAUAUAACCUUUCUUUAUUAAUUUAGAUGCUAUGUUCUAGCAUCACUCUGGUGUGUUUGUCUGGCUCUUUCUCUAGGUUGGGCAUAAGUGUGUGUGCUUCUAGCUUGUAAAAUGUAAAAUCAAAAGCUGAUAACAGGAGAAUCUUAGUAGUCCAGUUGAUUGGCUACUUGAAUUUUCACCUUGUUGGUGGGGGUUCGAUUCCCCUCCUUGCAAUAUCUUCCCCCAUUUCCCCUUCCCCUCCUGCUAUGCACAAUGAAAAAAAUGAUAACAAUAACUAUAUAAGAGCUGUAACAUUACCGAGAUAUGGUGUGUUUCUCACGUAGAAAGAUGACCAUUGUGUCGUUUCUUCUUGACUUAUUAGUGAUGAUAUCUUUUUGAUUCCCUCUUCAAUUCAGUUCUAGGAAUUGGGUCUUAUGUGAACAACACAUACUGAAGAAGAUGAGUGAGUCUAAGAAUUGGUUGGUUAGUAGAAAUCAUGAUCUAAGGAAGCAAGGAUCAAAUGAGGGAUUUUUUCAAACAUGUAAACUUGAGAAAUUAGCUGUACUAAAAUUUGUUGCCGCUGGUAUGUUCAACUUGUGUGAUUUCAGAUUCAGCAAUCCAUUUAUGUCAUGUGACUUCAGAUUGAAAUACUAUUGGGAAUUCCCUUUCCAGUAAGUCCAGUAGUACUCUUGUCACCUGACGCGUUUGGGUACAGUAACGUAUAAGGCAUCUGUAUAGGUCCUUUUCGGUUCUUCAAUGUAUUGUCGUUGUUCCUAUCCAUUAUUCUGUUCUCGAUUUCUACCAGUUUGUCAUGGAAUCCCUCAAAUGCAUGUCGUGGUUUACUAUCAGAAGUCCAUUCAGGAGCAUCUCUUUGUCCAAGAUAAAUCUCAUCUGAAGAAUGCAUGGAUAACAUCUCUAUCAAAGAGAUGCCAAGAAGAGUUUGGAACUGGGCUGUGAUGGUCUUUAGGUAGGCUCGCUCAUGGUUUGACUCAAGCUCAACAUACUCAGGAGUGCCUGGCAUUGGCAUAAAGCGCCGGCUUACGGUUGGGCGAUUUGGGAGAUAACCAGCAUAAGGAUAUUGCCCAAAAUUAACUGCUGCAUGAAGAGCAGAAGCCACCCAUAUGAUUAUGGUGCAUGUUUGGACAAGCUCAGCUCUUGUCUGCAUCUGAGGCCACCAUGGUUCAUCUUUCAAGUCACCAUGACCCACGUUGCGAACUUCUGUCCACCAUGAUUGAAGUUCAGGAUCAUCUUGGAUCAUUUCAUCCGCUAUGUAAUAGAAUGAGCAAUACUCUUCCACCCAGGUUUCAAUUGCUGACCAAAUCUCAAGUCCAUCAACGGCGUAAGGAUAAUCCUCUAUCAGAAGUCUAAGGCCAUGAGGCUGGCUUGGGUCUGGUACUGCAACUCCUCUAUAAAUUAAAAAUAAUUGAGAGCAUUACUUGGACAAGAUGGAUAUGACAUUGAAUUUUAAGCUGUAACAACUAGUGACCUACCUCUUAAGUAGAUCUGCAGGGAGUGCCUGCUCAGUGAACACCCAAUUCUUAUAGAUGGAAGAAGACAUUUCCAUGGCAUACUUGGAUGGAAAUACUGUCAACUCAAGUAUUCCACCUGCAUUAAUGAGGAUCUGCCGAGCCAAAGCAUUGAUGUUCAUUGUAUCACGGAAGUGGGGAUGUAGAAGCUUAUAGAUUGGAUGAAGCACACUCAAUUGUCUGUUUGUUGCUAUAAUAAAUGGCUCUAAAGCUGCAUGGGUAUUCAACCUGCAAAGUAUGUAACAAAAUUAAUGUAGUGACUUCAAGAGGUGACCUGCUUCUAUAGUUUCUACCUUUUCAUCUGCUUUGUUAAGUAGCUCACCAGUGACUGACGAGCUGAUGAUACCCAGAAUCAUUUACAGCAACAUAGGCUUUAGCCAGAUGCCAGACAUAGCCUUCAGCACUCUCAUCAUUACAUGGGGUAAAUACUUGACUGCUGGAACCAUGUUUAUCUCCUUGUGGGUGUGGUAAGCUCAGUUCGAUUGCAAGUGGCUUCAAUGUUCCAUCAUCUUGGAGUAAAAGGAGGGUCCGACUAGCAUAGAUCUUAUUGGAUGUUGAGUUAAUCCGAUUAAGAUAAGGCAUAAGCCCGUCAUGAUAAUCUAAGAUGAAUAGCCUGUUAUACUUUAUUGCCUGUGACCACAAAAGAUAAAUGUGUAAAAUAUAUAGAAUCUAAAAUGGAAACAGAUGAAUAGUUUCCAUAUACAAAGGAUGCCUUGGUUUUCUCUUCCUUUCUUUAUGAUAAAUCACCAGAAAAAAGUUGGUCCUCAGAAAAAGAAAAAAAAAACAGAAAAAGAAAUGAAGAAUGAGUAUUACAUCAUCCACAGUUAGUCCAUCCAUGUAUUUCUCAAUCUGCUCUCUUGUGAUUUUACUAGUUUGGUUGCCAUAUACUUCAGGAUUUAGCUUGCUUGUGGGUGGAAAUUCCUGAUAGGCAUUUAGUCUUUUAGUAUCUGCAUUCAAAGAGUACAAAAACACAUAGAAAAGAUAAAAAAAUUCGUAAUUGAUAUUACCUGGAGACGCUGGAUAAUCACAGGAUUGACUCCAGCCAGCAUUUCACGUCCAAACUCUUCAUCUGUCCUCCAUGCAGAGUUAUCUUCUGUAUUUUUUUUUUUUUUGGGAAAGGGUUCACAAUUAAUUUACUUUUUCACCUUAGGAAGUACUCAGAGGCUAAAGUAGUUGUGGAGCCAGAGAAAGAGAACACAUAAGCACCUUUAAUUACAUGAGGAAUUGGAAAUUUAUGAAGUUGUCCUUUAAGCAUCUCCCAUGGCAUGCUUUCCGUGGAGUUAUCAGGAACUCGACCUUUAUAGACUUUUUGUACAUGUUUGAAGCUGUUAAACUCAUUAAAAGGUUUGGCUAACAGAGAUGCAAGCUGUGGAAUUAUGACCCGACCCAUUGAUUUGGCACCAUAUCGAAGGAAAUCCAUAAAUUUCACAUGGUUGAAACGUUCAUCUCGUGGAACAUAAAUGUUCAAACUCAGAAGUGGAAGCCGGCUCUCUAAGCUAGAAUCUGUAACAGCAAACUUAACUCUUUCAACAUGUUCUAUUAGUGGUUCUAAGACAACACCUGGAAAUAUGAUGACAUUAAUAUGUUUGCAGCCUAACCUCUUUUAGUCAGUGGACGGCCCGUUCUUCCCCUUCGGGGGUAUGGAUAAUCCUUUCCCCCACCAAGCACUGGUCGACCAUGUCCUAAAUCAUUGUAGACUGCAUAGUCGUAAACCCUGUCCCAUUCCUCGAGUUUGCCAGAACCUGUACCCUGAAGAUUAAUGAGCUCCUCAUUCCUGUAUGGCCGAAGGGGUUCUGGUGUGUUGCAUGGCAGGUAUGUCUGAUAACACCAAAAAUUAGAGAUUCAGUCUCUAUCAUGAUCCAUAAGUUUGAAUUAAAUCCUGUACGCACGACUUGGUUAAGAUUUAGUAUGUCAGUGUAGGUAUAAUGUGAGAUUAGAGAACUUCAACUAGUUUGGAUUGAGGAAUAGUUGAUUGAUUGAUAUGACAGUCUUAUUUUCAUCUAUAUAAAAACUCUAGGUUUACAUAGCCUUCUAUCCUGUCAUACUUUAGGACUGUCAUCAUAAUCCUGUAAGUCAGGAAGUUCAGAACUAUUUUGAAGAGGAACAUAUCUUAUUUAACUUGAAAAUGUAUUUUUUUUUUUUUUUGUGUAUCUGGGAAUCAUACAGUUAGGUUUAACCUAUCAGUAUGUAUUUUUUGCCUAGAAAAUUGAAGUGCAUCCUCAACCUUAGUGCUUUCUUCUGCAAUUACGUGUAAUAAGCUCUGCCAGUUCCUGUUGAGUGAUUACAAUGUUUUGCAGGCAUCAUAUAGAUUCCUGGAGUAAGGUUAAGAAAUAUGAAUACCUUGUUGCUAAAAAACACCCGAUCGUACUUGUAGCGAUGUGCUGGAUACACCCAAGAAUUGCAGACGAAACGAACUUCACCAUGUCCGGGAAUAUCUUCUAAAGCAACGGUCUUCAGGUAAAACUGGCUAUGAUGAUAGUUCUUUAUAAUGAAAGCACCUGGAACUCCUAUUGACUCAUCCAACUCAAAUGUAAUAUUGAAUGUAGCUUCUUCCACUGAUAUCCAAGUCUUGCUGGAUGUCCAGUCCAAAAUUGCUGGUUUUCCCACCUUCCCUUUUGAUCCAUUUCCUUUAAGAAUGAAAAAAAAAAAUUGUGCUUCAAUGUUACUGUACAGAAUAACAUACAUUCUGCAUUUAUUGCAUUAAGGCUUCCAAAUUAAUCCGAAGUAGUUGAUUUCAAACAUUUAAACGACUGCAGAGAAGGAACUAUCAAGGUUUUCUUAUGGUAUUUUUGCUUCUAAAUGGGAGGAAACCAGGGAAAUAAAACCUUUAGAUUUAUUCUGCUGCUUACUUUCGCAAAAUUUGUUGGUGAAAAUGGAAUAACCAGGCAUUCAGAAUUCAGGUAGUGGAGGUUCAGGAGUUAAAAUUUUGAAACUCCAGAAUAAGAGUUUGUUACUAAAAUGGCGUCGGAGGUUUAAUGAUUUUAACAAUGAACUAUGGAACAAUGUUAUAACCAUUAAAUAUAUGGUAAGAAUGAGGAGAGGUGCACUAACAGUGUAAGAGGUGUGUAUGGUGUAUCUGUUUGGAAGCCUACUAGGAGUCUAUGGGAAGAAUUUUAUGACUGUUUAAGCUGAAAGUUGGCAAUGGAAGAAGAGUGAAGAUGUGGUCAAAUAGGUGGCUAUGACACUUCCUUAAUUGAGCAGUUUCCAGAUCUUUAUGCAAUCAUAUCGAACAAGCACUCUAUGGCUGAUUUCUACUUUUAUUUAAGAAGGAACUUGGAUGACUGGGAGAUUGAUUGCAUAAAUGACUUCAUUCAACAGCUAAAACCUGUCUCUAUUUGAUGAUCAGGUGGCUGAUUCUUUGUUGCGGACGGUUAAGAAAAUGGUAAAUGUACUGUCAAAGUAAUGUUAUAAAAGCCUCUUGAGGAAAAUAGGUGGAAUCCAUGACUGUUGACCGUGGAAGAUAAUCUGGAAAUCUAUUGUCCCCGUAGAGCUGCUUGCUCCACUGCACUGUUACCAAGAAAAUAUGGUCAAUGUUCCGGAGCAUUUUUGGAGUCCAAUUGGUUACGCCAGGAAGAAUAAAACUUGCCUUACACAGCUCGUAUGCACAGCCAUUUGCUAGGGGCAGCAAACACUGCUGCAAUGCAGUUCCUACUUGCAUAUUCUGAAUACUUGACUAGAUAGAAAGCAACAGAUGUUUUAAUGAUAAGAGUGAUAACAUUGCAAAUGUAAUAUCUAGAUGCUGUACGGAUCUUUCUUUGUGGUGUGGGAAGAACAUUGUAUCUGACAUAAUAACUAACAAGUAUAAUAACUAACAAGUUUGUUUGCAUCUCUUUGCUCAGCUCUAGGGAGAAAAUGUAAAUUACCAGGAUCAGCAU